Molecule: unclassified non-coding RNA, 231 nt
Filed under: plant metagenome
Description: partial contains small subunit ribosomal RNA, internal transcribed spacer 1, and 5.8S ribosomal RNA
Rfam family: Eukaryotic small subunit ribosomal RNA (bases 1-54)
Source: RNAcentral
GGAAGUAAAAGUCGUAACAGGGUCUCCGUUGGUGAACCAGCGGAGGGAUCAUUACUGGAAUCGCAAGAUCCCACAACCCUGUGAACCUACCGAAACGUUGCCUCGGCGGGUGCCCGGCCUCUGCGCCGGGCGCUGCGCCCGCCGGCGGCCCCCUACUCUGUCUCUGCAGCGUGGCAUCUCAGAGUCCCAGAAAACAAGUCAAAACUUUCAACAACGGAUCUCUUGGCUCUA